CCUUUUCUAACUUUUCUUAAAAAUGGGAACAAGGUGCUACUAUUAAAUGAACAGUAAACUAAUCCGAAGUUAUUGUGCAAGAGAAGAAAAUGGUGUCAUUUUUUGUACCCUUUUAUUUUUUAUUAUUUUCGGCUGAUAGCAUACCUAAUACCAUACCAUUUCCAUUUUUUUCCCUCCAACGACCAUUCCUAUGCUUUUCUUCUGACUUGAUUUGAUGGAGGCGAAAGAAAACCAUCGGGAAAAUCAAACAAUGACUACACCACUGUUCUUCAUCCUUUUGCGGUUUGGGUCGGCACUCUUUCAUCUGGGUUGUUCCAAAUAUUCAAAAAUCAUCCAGUGAAGUUUGUUGGGGCUUGACUUGUGCAGUGGUGGUUUAUUCCUUCCAAUGUUGUUCUUGCCACCAUAUCAGGAUCCAUUAUAGGUCUCGUUGUUUAUUUUCAUACGUUUGUGUAAUAUGUUGAUUUUGAUUAUUUAUUUUGCUUUUAUAUAAGCAUAUUUUGCUUUUAUAUAAGCAAAAUUUUAACAUAAUAAAGGCUGCAAGAGUGAAUAGAGUUAAGAGGUAUAUCUUCUUUAAGAAGCUGACAAUCACAAGGUGCGGAGUUCCGCAUUCAAGCGAACCCUCUGCACUGUGCGGAAAGCAUUUUAUUUUUAUUUUUUUGAAGCUAACAUUUUUCUUACUUCUUUAGGCAAAAAAAAAAAAAAAAAAGAAGGAAAAAAAUUAAUUGCGAACUCUCCGCACACUAUGAGAGUUCAACCGAACUCUCCACAGCGUGUUGAACUCUCAUAGUGCUCGGAGAGUUCAAAUGGGGAGAGUAUUUUUUUUUUUAUUGGAGCCAGCAUUUUCCUACUUCACACAACAUCCAUUUAUCUUUCUUCUCUUCUAAAAUUUUCAACCCCAUUUUUUUCUUAUAAAAGUUGGCGAGUUUUGAUUUAGAAUUUUUAGUGAUGUUUGUUUUCUGUUGUUGAAAGGUAAAUAGCAUAUAUUUCUUGUUUGUGAUUAUACUACUAUUUUAGCUCAUUAAUGUUAUCUUCAAGGUGGUUAGUCAAAUAAAUAUAUAGUUAAAUACUUCAGCUGAAAAAAUAUGGUAAACUAAAAAAAUAAAUAAUCAAAUAGUAUUUAAAGCUGAAUCUCUUCACACAAUGUGAGAGUUCAAGCGAACUCUUUGCGCUGUACGGAGAGCAUUUUAGUUUGCAAGCACACUCGCAUGAUUGGUUUGCUAACUCAUUUAAUUCUUCACCAAAUAUAGAUUUGUUGUUUAGAUUUUUUUUUUAAAAAUAAUCAUGAUAUAGCAAUUAAAAAAUAAUUAAUUUCGUAAUUCUCACUUAUUUACUAAUUUAAAGGGUUAAUUUCACAAACGGUCACUGAACUUAGGAGAAAGUUACAAAACAAUCAUUGAAA
Molecule: long non-coding RNA, 1399 nt
Organism: Olea europaea var. sylvestris
Lineage: Eukaryota; Viridiplantae; Streptophyta; Magnoliopsida; Lamiales; Oleaceae
Exons: 4
Source: RefSeq, a predicted model, not a curated record